CUCCUACGGGAGGCAGCAGUGGGGAAUCUUGCACAAUGGGGGAAACCCUGAUGCAGCGACGCCGCGUGAGCGAUGAAGCCCUUCGGGGUGUAAAGCUCUUUCGGCAGGGAAGAUUAUGACGGUACCUGCAGAAGCAGCUGCGGCUAACUACGUGCCAGCAGCCGCGGUAAUACGUAGGCAGCAAGCGUUGUUCGGAGUUACUGGGCGUAAAGGGUGCGUAGGCGGCCGUGUAAGUAUGGUGUGAAAUCUCCUGGCUCAACUGGGAGGGUGCGCUAUAAACUGCGUGGCUAGAGUGUGGGAGAGGAAAGUGGAAUUCCUGGUGUAGCGGUGAAAUGCGUAGAUAUCAGGAGGAACACCGGUGGUGUAAACGGCUUUCUGGACCAUAACUGACGCUGAGGCACGAAAGCGUGGGUAGCAAACAGGAUUAGAUACCCUGGUAGUCCACGCCCUAAACGAUGCAUAUUUGGUGUGGGCCAUUCAUUUGGUCCGUGCCGGAGCUAACGCGUUAAAU
This 511-nucleotide ribosomal RNA is filed under the name uncultured bacterium. Its description in RNAcentral is "bacterial SSU rRNA". It matches the Rfam family "Bacterial small subunit ribosomal RNA", at positions 336 to 865 of the family's 1533-position model. The record is from RNAcentral.